GGCCUGAUGGAUUAAUGGUUAGAGCACUGCCUAUAUAAGCUGGAAGUCCUGGGUUCGAAACCCAGUCAGAUCA
This is a non-coding RNA of Panus rudis PR-1116 ss-1, 73 nucleotides long. The record is from the annotation of a GenBank genome assembly. NCBI's taxonomy places the organism in Eukaryota, Fungi, Basidiomycota, Agaricomycetes, Polyporales, Panaceae.